This 490-nucleotide ribosomal RNA is filed under the name uncultured bacterium. Its description in RNAcentral is "partial 16S ribosomal RNA". It matches the Rfam family "Bacterial small subunit ribosomal RNA", at positions 29 to 507 of the family's 1533-position model. The record is from RNAcentral.
GUGAACGCUGGCGGUAGGCCUAACACAUGCAAGUCGAACGGCAGCACAGUAAGAGCUUGCUCUUACGGGUGGCGAGUGGCGGACGGGUGAGGAAUACAUCGGGAUCUACUUUUUCGUGGGGGAUAACGUAGGGAAACUUACGCUAAUACCGCAUACGACCUACGGGUGAAAGCAGGGGAUCUUCGGACCUUGCGCGAUUGAAUGAGCCGAUGUCGGAUUAGCUAGUUGGCGGGGUAAAGGCCCACCAAGGCGACGAUCCGUAGCUGGUCUGAGAGGAUGAUCAGCCACACUGGAACUGAGACACGGUCCAGACUCCUACGGGAGGCAGCAGUGGGGAAUAUUGGACAAUGGGCGCAAGCCUGAUCCAGCCAUACCGCGUGGGUGAAGAAGGCCUUCGGGUUGUAAAGCCCUUUGUUGGGAAAGAAAAGCAGCAGGUUAAUACCCCGCUGUUCUGACGGUACCCAAAGAAUAAGCACCGGCUAACUUCGUG